AGCAUGCCUGCCAUGUAGCAUGCUUCACUCUAUAACGUGAGCUGUUCAGUAUGUAUUAACAGUCCUUUCUACCUCGCCGUUUUUGAUAGAUAUAACAUUAGCCAUCGAGAACAAAAGUUUUGCUACUUUUCUCAAAACAUUGAUUCCAUGAAUUUAGCAGGCGCUAUCAACAGAUCAGCUGGAAAAAGUGAUGGGCUUCUUUCUGCACACGCCACAGUCAGUGUGAACCAGAGUGACUUGACACAAUGCUGGUCAAACAAGAUGUAGUUACAAACAAAACAGAGUUAAAUAGUUCCAAUCUGCCGUGAAGCGAUCAUCCAUGUAUACGGACUGGAUAUACUUUCCUGCAACCCGCCUCAACCCAAUGUGGUUUGGAUCUGCUGUUUUUAUACUUUAGAACCAGAACCCCCAUCAGCGGCUAGCCAGCUAACUAGCUACUAGCUAGUAGUCAGUUAGCAACUGCUAGCGGUCUUCACCAUUAACUCGGACACCAGCCAGCGUCAGCUCGGUCAAUACCUGCCAGUCUGCACAGUGCGAUAUUAACCCAGAGCAUAUCAGACUGCUUUUUCUCUACCACAUCACUGGAUUCCUACCGCAAGCUCUGGACCAUUACACCGGAUCAUCACAGCUAGCUGGCUGCAACCUGAGUGGCUACUGCUGGCUAACGCCUCUGUCCCGAAGAAAGCACCAGUUAGCCUCGAGCUAGGCCCAUCUCCCGGCUAGCCGAAGACGUCUACCAGCUAAUUCUUGGGCUACAAUACCUCUUUUGACAAUUGGCCUAGACCCUUUAUUGCCGACAUGGAGCCCCGCCAAUCCACCACGACUGGUCUGCCGACGUAACUGUCCGAGGAG
Molecule: long non-coding RNA, 852 nt
Filed under: Salmo salar (Atlantic salmon)
Lineage: Eukaryota; Metazoa; Chordata; Actinopteri; Salmoniformes; Salmonidae
Description: lncRNA (ENSSSAG00000098230.1)
Source: RNAcentral